GACGAACGCUGGCGGCGUGCUUAACACAUGCAAGUCGAACGGAAAGGCCUGCUUUCCCUUGUGGAUUGCGGGUACUCGAGUGGCGAACGGGUGAGUAACACGUGAGUGAUCUGCCCCCAACUUGGGUAUAAGCCUGGGAAACUGGGUCUAAUUCCCGAUAGGACUGCAGGGUGGUGCCUGUGGUGGAAAACGAUUUUCUAGUGGUUGGGGAUGAGCUCGCGGCCUAUCAGCUUGUUGGUGGGGUAAUGGCCUACCAAGGCGGCGACGGGUAGCCGGCCUGGGAGGGUGGACGGACACAUUGGGACUGAGAUACGGCCCAGACUCCUACGGGAGGCAGCAGUGGGGAAUAGUGCACAAUGGGCGGAAGCCUGAUGCAGCGACGCCGCGUGGGGGAUGACGGCCUUCGGGUGGUAAACUCCUUUCGACCGCGAGGAAGCCACCUGGUUGGAAGGGUGGUGACGGUAGUGGUAGAAGAAGCACCGGCUAACUACGUG
This 494-nucleotide ribosomal RNA is filed under the name uncultured bacterium. Its description in RNAcentral is "partial 16S ribosomal RNA". It matches the Rfam family "Bacterial small subunit ribosomal RNA", at positions 28 to 507 of the family's 1533-position model. The record is from RNAcentral.